UAGGGAAUCUUCCGCAAUGGACGCAAGUCUGACGGAGCAACGCCGCGUGAGUGAAGAAGGAUCUCGGUUCGUAAAACUCUGUUGUUAGAGAAGAACAGCGCAUAGAGUAACUGUUAUGCGUGUGACGGUAUCUAACCAGAAAGCCACGGCUAACUACGUGCCAGCAGCCGCGGUAAUACGUAGGUGGCAAGCGUUGUCCGGAUUUAUUGGGCGUAAAGCGAGCGCAGGCGGUCAAUUAAGUCUGAUGUGAAAGCCCCCGGCUCAACCGGGGAGGGUCAUUGGAAACUGGUUGACUUGAGUGCAGAAGAGGAGAGUGGAAUUCCAUGUGUAGCGGUGAAAUGCGUAGAUAUAUGGAGGAACACCAGUGGCGAAGGCGACUCUCUGGUCUGUAACUGACGCUGAGGCUCGAAAGCGUGGGUAGCAAACAGG
This 429-nucleotide ribosomal RNA is filed under the name Bacteroidota bacterium. Its description in RNAcentral is "Bacteroidetes bacterium partial 16S ribosomal RNA". It matches the Rfam family "Bacterial small subunit ribosomal RNA", at positions 355 to 776 of the family's 1533-position model. The record is from RNAcentral. Lineage: Bacteria; Pseudomonadati; Bacteroidota.